AGCGGAGGAGCUGCUGUCUCGCACAGGAGCAAGUUACCGCGUUCGCUAGGCUGCAGUAACUUGCUCCUGUGAGAGGCAGCGGAUCCUAGCU
Molecule: microRNA precursor, 91 nt
Filed under: Tinamus guttatus (white-throated tinamou)
Lineage: Eukaryota; Metazoa; Chordata; Aves; Tinamiformes; Tinamidae
Description: mir-1451 microRNA precursor family
Rfam family: mir-1451 microRNA precursor family
Source: Rfam by way of RNAcentral